CAUCAUGGCAGUGGAAACUGAAAGGCUUGAGUAUGGUAGGGGCAGAGGGAAUUCCCGGUGUAGCGGUGAAAUGCGUAGAUAUCGGGAAGAACACCAGUGGCGAAGGCGCUCUGCUGGGCCAUUACUGACGCUCAUGGACGAAAGCCAGGGGAGCGAAAGGGAUUAGAUACCCCUGUAGUCCUGGCCGUAAACGAUGAACACUAGGUGUCGGGGGAAUCGACCCCUUCGGUGUCGUAGCUAACGCGUUAAGUGUUCCGCCUGGGGAGUACGCACGCAAGUGUGAAACUCAAAGGAAUUGACGGGGGCCCGCACAAGCGGUGGAGUAUGUGGUUUAAUUCGAUGCAACGCGAAGAACCUUACCAGGGUUUGACAUCCUGCGAACCUCUUAGAAAUUUGAGGGUGCCUUCGGGAAUGCAGUGACAGGUGGUGCAUGGCUGUCGUCAGCUCGUGUCGUGAGAUGUUGGGUUAAGUCCCGCAACGAGCGCAACCCACGUUUUUAGUUGCCAGCAUUUAGUUGGGCACUCUAGAAAGACCGCCGGUGAUAAACCGGAGGAAGGUGUGGAUGACGUCAAGUCAUCAUGCCCCUUACACCCUGGGCUACACACGUACUACAAUGCUACGGACAAAGGGCAGCAAACUCGCGAGAGCUAGCAAAUCCCAUAAACCGUGGCUCAGUUCAGAUCGUAGGCUGCAACUCGCCUACGUGAAGUAGGAAUCGCUAGUAAUCGCAGGUCAGCAUACUGCGGUGAAUACGUUCCCGGGCCUUGUACACACCGCCCGUCACACCAUGGAAGUUGGCCAUGCCCGAAGUCGUUACUCCAACCCUUGUGGAGGAGGACGCCGAAGGUGGGGCUAAUGACUGGGGUGAAGUCGUAACAAGGUAGCCGUA
RNAcentral lists this ribosomal RNA (889 nucleotides) under uncultured bacterium. RNAcentral describes it as "bacterial SSU rRNA". It matches the Rfam family "Bacterial small subunit ribosomal RNA", at positions 616 to 1504 of the family's 1533-position model. The record is from RNAcentral.